This 565-nucleotide long non-coding RNA is filed under the name Citrus sinensis (sweet orange). Its description in RNAcentral is "long non-coding RNA (CSIN_LNC000943)". Lineage: Eukaryota; Viridiplantae; Streptophyta; Magnoliopsida; Sapindales; Rutaceae. The record is from RNAcentral.
GUCAAGGAUAUGCUUGACAGAUACUUCAAGGGAGAAGAUUUUCCUGUUCAAAAUUACAUAGUGAAGGCGGGGGAGCUGGCACCUCAAUAUCGAUAAUUUCACGUGUGAAGAGACUGAUCGUUUGAGUUUAUUCUCUGUUGAACAGGACCUUCUGGAAUAAUCCUAUGUUUGUACCUUCUGGAAUAAUGUUCCUAUGUUUGUAAACUCUACAUUUAACAAUGGAAUAAUAAACAGCUGGAAUGAGUAACUUCAUUUUGUGUUUUUUUGCUGGAAUGAGUAACUUCAUUUUGUGCAUUUAACAAUGGAAUAAUAAACAGCUGGAAUGAGUAACUUCAUUUUGUGUUUUUUUUUUUUUUUUUGGGUAGGCUUCAUUUUAUAGGUAUUGUCUUAAUUUCUUUAUGAUGCAUUUGUCAGAGUUAUAUUGCUCGACUAUCUUAUCGGCAGGGGUUUUGGUUGAGUGGCUUUCAUUAAACUUUAUUUAAUUAACCGCACCUGAGUUCGAACCCUGCAGAAGGAGGAACUUAAAAAAAUACUGAUUUGGUCAUUGUCUAUCCCUACCUUAAAC